GACGAACGCUGGCGGCGUGCUUAACACAUGCAAGUCGAACGGAAAGGCCCUGCUUUUGUGGGGUGCUCGAGUGGCGAACGGGUGAGUAACACGUGAGUAACCUCCCCUUGACUUUGGGAUAACUUCAGGAAACUGGGGCUAAUACCGGAUAGGAGCUCCUGCUGCAUGGUGGGGGUUGGAAAGUUUCGGCGGUUGGGGAUGGACUCGCGGCUUAUCAGCUUGUUGGUGGGGUAGUGGCUUACCAAGGCUUUGACGGGUAGCCGGCCUGAGAGGGUGACCGGCCACAUUGGGACUGAGAUACGGCCCAGACUCCUACGGGAGGCAGCAGUGGGGAAUAUUGCACAAUGGGCGGAAGCCUGAUGCAGCAACGCCGCGUGCGGGAUGACGGCCUUCGGGUUGUAAACCGCUUUCGCCUGUGACGAAGCGUGAGUGACGGUAAUGGGUAAAGAAGCACCGGCUAACUACGUG
This 468-nucleotide ribosomal RNA is filed under the name uncultured bacterium. RNAcentral's name for it is "partial 16S ribosomal RNA". It matches the Rfam family "Bacterial small subunit ribosomal RNA", at positions 28 to 507 of the family's 1533-position model. The record is from RNAcentral.